This 588-nucleotide long non-coding RNA is filed under the name Nicotiana tabacum (common tobacco). RNAcentral describes it as "long non-coding RNA (NTAB_LNC016814)". Lineage: Eukaryota; Viridiplantae; Streptophyta; Magnoliopsida; Solanales; Solanaceae. The record is from RNAcentral.
AGGCUCGUAAUGAGCAUAACAAAAAUUUAGAAUUACUAUGGCAUAAGAAAUCGAGAAAGAUAAAGAUUAAAGAGAGAGGGCAGUAUUUAUUAUUCUCAAAAAUGCUCACGACAGUACACAUCAGGCCCUAGCCUUGUUCAUAAAUCAUACAAGCAUCACGCUAAUUCUUCUCACUCUAAAGAACCACAGAGACAAAUUGUGGGCCUGCCCACAUUAAAUUACAUCAACAACUGGAUAAGAUUCAGAAUCAUAAAGGGCCUGUUGUUUCUCAAACUUUGACUUCUUACAGUUGUUCCUGACGGCCGUCAGCUCAUAUGGUGAAACGUUAGUGCCGAGCCACUGGUCCACAGUGAAAAGCUGCUGGUUGCAUUGUUUGUGUGCUCCAGUAACGGUAACUUCGACGUAGUUACAGUACCAUCCGGCAUGUGGGCCUGAUCCAUCAGAAGUCAGAUUCAUUUUGCAGAUCGGCCGAGUCAAACAUGGACCACGUCCACUGAAGAUAUCCAAGUUUCCUCUUUCGAAAUAGUUGUAACCUGGGCCCAUAAGCCCACCCCAUGCCUCUAAGUUCUUGAUUCUAAUUCCAUAGCC